Molecule: transfer RNA, 75 nt
Filed under: Bacillota bacterium
Lineage: Bacteria; Bacillati; Bacillota
Description: Firmicutes bacterium tRNA-Arg
Rfam family: tRNA
About the family: Transfer RNA (tRNA) molecules are approximately 80 nucleotides in length. Their secondary structure includes four short double-helical elements and three loops (D, anti-codon, and T loops).
Source: RNAcentral
GCUAAAGGGGGCUACUUCGGGUAGAGCAGCCGCCCUCUAAGCGGUGUGUUGCAGGUUCGAGUCCUGCCUUACGCU